AUUGAACGCUGGCGGCAUGCCUUACACAUGCAAGUCGAACGGCAGCACGGAGCUUGCUCUGGUGGCGAGUGGCGAACGGGUGAGUAAUAUAUCGGAACGUACCCUAGAGUGGGGGAUAACGUAGCGAAAGUUACGCUAAUACCGCAUACGAUCUAAGGAUGAAAGUGGGGAUUCGCAAGAACCUCAUGCUCGUGGAGCGGCCGAUAUCUGAUUAGCUAGUUGGUAGGGUAAAAGCCUACCAAGGCAUCGAUCAGUAGCUGGUCUGAGAGGACGACCAGCCACACUGGAACUGAGACACGGUCCAGACUCCUACGGGAGGCAGCAGUGGGGAAUUUUGGACAAUGGGCGAAAGCCUGAUCCAGCAAUGCCGCGUGAGUGAAGAAGGCCUUCGGGUUGUAAAGCUCUUUUGUCAGGGAAGAAACGGUGAAAGCUAAUAUCUUUUGCUAAUGACGGUACCUGAAGAAUAAGCACCGGCUAACUACGUGCCAGCAGCCGCGGUAAUACGUAGGGUGCAAGCGUUAAUCGGAAUUACUGGGCGUAAAGCGUGCGCAGGCGGUUUUGUAAGUCUGAUGUGAAAUCCCCGGGCUCAACCUGGGAAUUGCAUUGGAGACUGCAAGGCUAGAAUCUGGCAGAGGGGGGUAGAAUUCCACGUGUAGCAGUGAAAUGCGUAGAUAUGUGGAGGAACACCGAUGGCGAAGGCAGCCCCCUGNGUCAAGAUUGACGCUCAUGCACGAAAGCGUGGGGAGCAAACAGGAUUAGAUACCCUGGUAGUCCACGCCCUAAACGAUGUCUACUAGUUGUCGGGUCUUAAUUGACUUGGUAACGCAGCUAACGCGUGAAGUAGACCGCCUGGGGAGUACGGUCGCAAGAUUAAAACUCAAAGGAAUUGACGGGGACCCGCACAAGCGGUGGAUGAUGUGGAUUAAUUCGAUGCAACGCGAAAAACCUUACCUACCCUUGACAUGGCUGGAAUCCUUGAGAGAUCAGGGAGUGCUCGAAAGAGAACCAGUACACAGGUGCUGCAUGGCUGUCGUCAGCUCGUGUCGUGAGAUGUUGGGUUAAGUCCCGCAACGAGCGCAACCCUUGUCAUUAGUUGCUACGAAAGGGCACUCUAAUGAGACUGCCGGUGACAAACCGGAGGAAGGUGGGGAUGACGUCAAGUCCUCAUGGCCCUUAUGGGUAGGGCUUCACACGUCAUACAAUGGUACAUACAGAGCGCCGCCAACCCGCGAGGGGGAGCUAAUCGCAGAAAGUGUAUCGUAGUCCGGAUUGUAGUCUGCAACUCGACUGCAUGAAGUUGGAAUCGCUAGUAAUCGCGGAUCAGCAUGUCGCGGUGAAUACGUUCCCGGGUCU
Molecule: ribosomal RNA, 1353 nt
Filed under: uncultured bacterium
Lineage: Bacteria
Description: bacterial SSU rRNA
Rfam family: Bacterial small subunit ribosomal RNA
Source: RNAcentral